Molecule: long non-coding RNA, 356 nt
Organism: Etheostoma cragini (Arkansas darter)
Lineage: Eukaryota; Metazoa; Chordata; Actinopteri; Perciformes; Percidae
Exons: 3
Source: RefSeq, a predicted model, not a curated record
UUAAGUCUGAUAAUCUCGUUUAGAAUUUUUUGAUAUGCGAGCGGCUCCAUCCAAAGUGAGAUGAAUGCCGUCUCUUCUAAUCAGACCAGGCUUUCCCCAGAACGCGCUCCACGUACCCUACAUCAUUAGCUGGGCCCACCCUGACAAACAGCAGUUGAAGGAUGACAUGCGGCUGUACAUGUCAUUGCUGAUCAGGUUUGACAGGGCUCCAGAGAAAACUACUGGGUCCAACAUUGUCUUAACAUAUGCACAAAGCCACUCAACGUUCAUUUUAGUGAUUUCCAAUUUGCGUAAUCGGGUAUCAUUACCACCUAUAUGAAGUAUCAUCUUACUGUAUUUAAGGUUAUCUUAAGCCA